RNAcentral lists this ribosomal RNA (403 nucleotides) under uncultured Polynucleobacter sp. RNAcentral's name for it is "bacterial SSU rRNA". It matches the Rfam family "Bacterial small subunit ribosomal RNA", at positions 1 to 407 of the family's 1533-position model. Lineage: Bacteria; Pseudomonadati; Pseudomonadota; Betaproteobacteria; Burkholderiales; Burkholderiaceae. The record is from RNAcentral.
ACUGGAGUUUGAUCCUGGCUCAGAUUGAACGCUGGCGGCAUGCCUUACACAUGCAAGUCGAACGGCAGCACGGGUGCUUGCACCUGGUGCGAGUGGCGGAACGGGUGAGUAAUACAUCGGAACGUACCUUAUCGUGGGGGAUAACGCAGCGAAAGUUGCGCUAAUACCGCAUACGCCCUGAGGGGGAAAGCGGGGGACCGUAAGGCCUCGCGCGAUUAGAGCGGCCGAUGUCUGAUUAGCUUGUUGGUGAGGUAAAAGCUCACUAAGGCGAUGAUCAGUAGCUGGUCUGAGAGGACGAUCAGCCACACUGGGACUGAGACACGGCCCAGACUCCUACGGGGGGCAGCAAUUAGGAAUCUUGCGCAAUGGGGGAAACCCCUGACGCAGCGACGUCGCGUGAAGG